This 100-nucleotide microRNA precursor is filed under the name Caenorhabditis remanei. Its description in RNAcentral is "microRNA crm-mir-86 precursor". Its record names the gene crm-mir-86. The stretch from base 9 to 88 matches the Rfam family "mir-86 microRNA precursor family". RNAcentral also lists the same sequence under 1 other name. The record is from miRBase by way of RNAcentral. Lineage: Eukaryota; Metazoa; Nematoda; Chromadorea; Rhabditida; Rhabditidae.
ACGAGUCGGCGCCGUCUAAGUGAAUGCUUUGCCACAGUCUUCGACCAUGUCAAAUGAAGCCUGGGCUAAGAUUCGCUUAGGCCGGCGUUUUUCGACACGG